Molecule: ribosomal RNA, 484 nt
Filed under: uncultured bacterium
Lineage: Bacteria
Description: partial 16S ribosomal RNA
Rfam family: Bacterial small subunit ribosomal RNA
Source: RNAcentral
AUUGAACGCUGGCGGCAGGCCUAACACAUGCAAGUCGAGCGGAUGAAGGGAGCUUGCUCCUGGAUUCAGCGGCGGACGGGUGAGUAAUGCCUAGGAAUCUGCCUGGUAGUGGGGGAUAACGUCCGGAAACGGGCGCUAAUACCGCAUACGUCCUGAGGGAGAAAGUGGGGGAUCUUCGGACCUCACGCUAUCAGAUGAGCCUAGGUCGGAUUAGCUAGUUGGUGGGGUAAAGGCCUACCAAGGCGACGAUCCGUAACUGGUCUGAGAGGAUGAUCGGUCACAAUGGUAGGGAAAUAGGGGACAGGGGCAUAAGGCAGGCAGCAGUGGCGACGAGUGGAUGAUGAGGGUGAGCAUGAUCCAAACAUAGUGCGGGUGGGAAGAAGGUAAGAGAAUGAUGACGUAGUUGAUGUGGCGAGAAAGGGCAAUAAGUCACUACCUUGCUAUGUGGACGUUACCGGCAGAAUAAGCACCGGCUAACUUCGUG